RNAcentral lists this transfer-messenger RNA (351 nucleotides) under Candidatus Dadabacteria bacterium. It matches the Rfam family "transfer-messenger RNA". Rfam says of the family: Bacterial tmRNA, also known as 10Sa RNA or SsrA, is named for its dual tRNA and mRNA-like properties. Its role is to liberate the mRNA from a stalled ribosome. The record is from RNAcentral. Lineage: Bacteria; Pseudomonadati; Thermodesulfobacteriota; Candidatus Dadabacteria.
GGGGGCGAACUGGCUUCGACGUAUUUGAAGACAGCUCAUGUCGCAUGCCGAGCCGGGCUAACUCGUUAAACUGACCCGUCGCUUAUUAAACGGCGAACCAAUUAACGCACUUGCGGCCUGAUUAACGCCGCAACGCUUCACAGGGCAGCGCCUGCGGGCUUUGUGAGGCGGCAUUCAGCAGGCUCUGCCGCCCGCGUCGCCCGGCGCGCGAACGGCGAGAAAACAGUCGGGACAGCGGAAAAAGCGUUUGCCCGCCGGCAACUUUUUUCGUUAAACAACGGCGGGACAAGCAUGUAGAAGCUGGGCGGGUCUCUUUUGCGGACGCGGGUUCAAUUCCCGCCGCCUCCACCA